AGACGUCUGCGAUGCGCAUUGGGCUUUAUAUUUCCUUGAACCAAUGCUCUUUGAGCACGGGCUUGGUAAAUUGUCCGGCAGGUGUGAUCGUCUCGCGUCAGACGAACCCGAAACCCGACUGCCCUCGCCCACCUGAACCCCUGGUUCAGGAUGACGGUCCAGUGGCACUCGCAGACACCUU
Non-coding RNA from Polaromonas sp. CF318, 181 nucleotides. The record is from Rfam. NCBI's taxonomy places the organism in Bacteria, Pseudomonadati, Pseudomonadota, Betaproteobacteria, Burkholderiales, Comamonadaceae.